This 66-nucleotide transfer RNA is filed under the name Cucujus kempi. Its description in RNAcentral is "tRNA-Tyr". It matches the Rfam family "tRNA". From Rfam's summary of the family: Transfer RNA (tRNA) molecules are approximately 80 nucleotides in length. Lineage: Eukaryota; Metazoa; Arthropoda; Insecta; Coleoptera; Cucujidae. The record is from RNAcentral.
GAUAAAAUGGCUGAGAGUUAGGCAAUAAAUUGUAAAUUUAUGAACGAAAUGAUUUUUCUUUUAUCA